RNAcentral lists this ribosomal RNA (1472 nucleotides) under uncultured delta proteobacterium. RNAcentral describes it as "bacterial SSU rRNA". It matches the Rfam family "Bacterial small subunit ribosomal RNA". The record is from RNAcentral. Lineage: Bacteria; Deltaproteobacteria.
GACGAACGCUGGCGGCAUGCCUAACACAUGCAAGUCGAACGAGAAAGUUCCUUCGGGAGCGAUUAAAGUGGCGCACGGGUGAGUAACGCGUAGACAAUCUGCCCUUCAGUCUGGGACAACUUUUCGAAAGGAGAGCUAAUACCGGAUAACAAUGUUUAACAUAAGUUAAGUAUUUGAAAGCUUUAUGUGCUGAAGGAGGGGUCUGCGUCCCAUUAGCUAGUUGGUAAGGUAAAGGCUUACCAAGGCAACGAUGGGUAGCGGGUUUGAGAGGACGAUCCGCCACACUGGAACUGAGACACGGUCCAGACUCCUACGGGAGGCAGCAGUGGGGAAUAUUGCACAAUGGAGGAAACUCUGAUGCAGCAAUGUCGCGUGAGUGAAGAAGGCCCUUGGGUCGUAAAGCUCUUUUAUGGGGGAAGAUGAUGACGGUACCCCAAGAAUAAGCACCGGCUAACUAUGUGCCAGCAGCCGCGGUAAUACAUAGGGUGCGAGCGUUGUUCGGAAUUACUGGGCGUAAAGGGCGCGCAGGCGGAAUAGUAAGUCGGAGGUGAAAGCCCGGGGCUCAACCCCGGAGGGUCUUUCGAAACUGCUAAUCUAGAGAGGGUCAGGGGCCGGCAGAAUUCCUGGUGUAGAGGUGAAAUUCGUAGAUAUCAGGAGGAAUACCGGUGGCGAAGGCGGCCGGCUGGGGCCACUCUGACGCUGAGGCGCGAAAGCGUGGGGAGCAAACAGGAUUAGAUACCCUGGUAGUCCACGCCGUAAACGAUGAGCACUGGACGUCCGGAGGGUUCGACCCUUCUGGGUGUCUCAGCUAACGCAUUAAGUGCUCCGCCUGGGGAGUACGGUCGCAAGACUAAAACUCAAAGGAAUUGACGGGGGCCCGCACAAGCGGUGGAACAUGUGGUUUAAUUCGAUGCAACGCGAAGAACCUUACCUGGUCUUGACAUCCUCGGACCGCUUCAGAGAUGAAGUUUCCUCUUCGGAGGCCGAGUGACAGGUGCUGCGUGGCUGUCGUCAGCUCGUGUCGUGAGAUGUUGGGUUAAGUCCCGCAACGAGCGCAACCCCUACCCUUAAUUGCCAUCGGGUUAUGCCGGGCACUUUAGGGGGACUGCCGGUGACAAGCCGGAGGAGGGUAGGGAUGACGUCAAGUCCUCAUGGCCUUUAUGACCAGGGCUACACACGUGUUACAAUGGGAGUUACAGAGGGAAGCUAAGCCGCGAGGCCAUGCUAAUCCCAGAAAAACUUUCUCAGUUCGGAUCGCAGUCUGCAACUCGACUGCGUGAAGCUGGAAUCGCUAGUAAUCGCGGAUCAGCACGCCGCGGUGAAUACGUUCCCGGGCCUUGUACACACCGCCCGUCACACCAUGGGAGCCGACAAGGGCAGAAGUCGCCGAGCUAACCUUCGGGAAGCAGGCGCCCAAGCUGUUGUUGACGACUGGGGUGAAGUCGUAACAAGGUAGCCGUAGGAGAACCUGC